Molecule: ribosomal RNA, 1470 nt
Filed under: Triticum aestivum (bread wheat)
Lineage: Eukaryota; Viridiplantae; Streptophyta; Magnoliopsida; Poales; Poaceae
Description: partial small subunit ribosomal RNA
Source: RNAcentral
AUGAUCUCGUCCAUGUCUUGGGUGCCCAGGGGCGCCGCCAGGAGCGCCCCAAUCCAGGCGGACCCGCCCACGCAGGAGGAUAUCGACGAGGCCAUGAGGAGCAUCGCCCUCGCCACAGAGGACGACGGCAGUGACGCCGAAGCCGACGCUGACUAUGGCGAGAUGGAGGUCGACGGCGCUGAUGAGGAGGAGAAUGAGGAUGUCGCCCAGGCCAAGGUCGCCGCCGAGGCGCUCGGGAAGACCGGCUCGGGAGGCGCCGUCGGCGGUGUCUCCCAUGGGCUUGAGGAGCUCCACAUGGAGGACUACGACGACGAGGAUGACGAGCCUGAGCUUCUCAGUGCCGGCGGGAGGGGGGAUUUGUACUAUGAGAACAACGAAGAGGACCCUCAUCUCAUCAGGAACAGCGAUGAUGAUGAUGGUGAUGAAGACGACGAGGAGAUUGAAGACAUGGCUAUCAAACCUACUGAUAUGCUGAUUGUUUGUGCACACAACGAGGAUGAGUUUAACUCUCUUCAGGUUAGUAUAGUGGAAGAAUUGGAGGACGGGGAUCUUAAUAUGUAUGUUCAUCAUGAGGUCCCUCUCUCAGAUUUUCCACUCUGCACGGCUUGGAUGGAUUUUAACUUUAAGGAUGCCAAGAAAGAAGGGAAUUUCAUUGCUGUUGGAACCAUGGAUCCUGCAAUUGAAAUAUGGAACUUGGAUAUUGUUGAUGAGGUCAAACCACAUAUUGUGCUAGGAGGACUUUCAAAAAACAGAGAAAAGGUUAAGGGGGAGAAGGGAAAAAUAUACAAGGAGGGUAGCCACAAAAGUUCUGUGCUCGGACUUGCAUGGAAUGCAGUGGUGAGGAACGCUCUAGCUAGUGCAAGUGCAGACAAAACUAUUAAAGUUUGGGAUUUAUAUACCAGUAAAUGUGAUCGCACACUGCAACAUCAUGAUGACAAGGUUCAAUCAGUUGCCUGGAGGUCACCUGAAGUUCUUCUCAGUGGAUCUUUUGAUAGAUCAGUUGCCAUGACUGACAUGAGAGGUGAUGGACGAAGUUGUCAUAAAUGGUCCGUAGAAGCAGAUGUCGAAAGCUUAGCUUGUGAUCCACACAAUGAACACACGUUUGUGGUUAGUCUUGAAAAUGGGACGGUUCAAGCAUUUGAUACGCGGACAGCUUCAUCGCAUUCAAAUUGCGGCCAGCCCAUGUUUACUCUGCACGCACACGACAAGGCUGUUUCUUCAAUAUCCUUUACCCCAUCUACCCCCAAUCUCCUUGCGACAGGUUCAACUGAUAACACGGUGGAGCUCUGGGAUCUGUCGAACAACCAGCCGUCAUGCGUCGCUUCGCUGAAUCCAAACCUUGGGGCUAUAUUUUCGGUAUCGUUUUCGAACGACAGCCCCUUCCUGCUAGCAUGCGGAGGAUCGAAAGGCAAACUGAAGGUCUGGAACACACUGUUGGAACCAGCGGUGGCUAAUAGAUUCGGCAAGUAG